Molecule: ribosomal RNA, 253 nt
Filed under: uncultured bacterium
Lineage: Bacteria
Description: partial 16S ribosomal RNA
Rfam family: Bacterial small subunit ribosomal RNA
Source: RNAcentral
UACGAAGGGGGCUAGCGUUGCUCGGAAUCACUGGGCGUAAAGCGCACGUAGGCGGGUUCUUAAGUCAGGGGUGAAAUCCUGGAGCUCAACUCCAGAACUGCCUUUGAUACUGGGAAUCUCGAGUCCGGAAGAGGUGAGUGGAACUCCGAGUGUAGAGGUGAAAUUCGUAGAUAUUCGGAAGAACACCAGUGGCGAAGGCGGCUCACUGGUCCGGUACUGACGCUGAGGAGCGAAAGCGUGGGGAGCGAACAGG